Molecule: ribosomal RNA, 420 nt
Filed under: bacterium
Lineage: Bacteria
Description: partial 16S ribosomal RNA
Rfam family: Bacterial small subunit ribosomal RNA
Source: RNAcentral
GGGGGGAUAUUGCACAAUGGGCGAAAGCCUGAUGCAGCGACGCCGCGUGGGGGAUGAAGGCUUUCGGGUUGUAAACCUCUUUCGCUAUCGAACAAGGCCCGCUUAGGGUGGGUUGAGGGUAGGUGGAGAAGAAGCGCCGGCUAACUACGUGCCAGCAGCCGCGGUAAUACGUAGGGCGCGAGCGGUGUCCGGAAUUAUUGGGCGUAAAGGGCUUGUAGGCGGCUUGUUGCGCCUGCUGUGAAAACGCGGGGCUUAACUUCGCGCGUGCAGUGGGUACGGGCAGGCUUGAGUGUGGUAGGGGUGACUGGAAUUCCAGGUGUAGCGGUGGAAUGCGCAGAUAUCUGGAGGAACACCGAUGGCGAAGGCAGGUCACUGGGCCAUUACUGACGCUGAGGAGCGAAAGCAUGGGUAGCGAACAGG